Pisolithus marmoratus is the source of this 73-nucleotide non-coding RNA. Lineage: Eukaryota; Fungi; Basidiomycota; Agaricomycetes; Boletales; Pisolithaceae. The record is from the annotation of a GenBank genome assembly.
GCAUUAGUGUGGUGUAGCGGUAACAUUGGGUCUUCCCAUGGCCUAGCUCCGGGUUCGACUCCUGCCUGAUGCA